AUGAACAUUCAUCACCAACAACAUUUGGACCAUCAAGAGACACUUCUGUGUUCUUCAGGUGUCAGCUGUGAAGAACUCACUGCAGUCCACCAUCAAGAGGACACUUUAGAAGGCAGUACUGCUACUCUGGAGUACAAAUACCACAAAACUGCUGAUGGUGGUGAUUAUUUUUUCUGGUAUCGACAAUAUCCAGGAAAACCACCAGAGUUCCUCCUGAUCAUCUCAGGUUCGAGCAGAACAAGAGCAGCAGAGUCUGUGAAAUCAGACAAAAGGUUCUCAACUAAACUGUCUGAAGAUAAACGUGGUGUGUAUUUGGAGAUCAGCAGUACUGCAGUGACAGACUCUGCUGUGUACUACUGUGCUGUGAGGCCCACAGUGACACAAAACACUCAGUCUGUGGACAAAAACCUCACUCAGUGA
Non-coding RNA from Thalassophryne amazonica, 420 nucleotides. NCBI's taxonomy places the organism in Eukaryota, Metazoa, Chordata, Actinopteri, Batrachoidiformes, Batrachoididae. The record is from the annotation of a RefSeq genome assembly.